AAGGUUCGAUUCUGGCUCAAGAUGAACGCUGGCGGCGUGCUUAACACAUGCAAGUCGAACGGGAUCCAUCAAGCUUGCUUGUGGUGAGAGUGGCGAACGGGUGAGUAAUGCGUGACCGACCUGCCCCAUACACCGGAAUAGCUCCUGGAAACGGGUGGUAAUGCCGGAUGCUCCAGUUGAUCGCAUGGUCUUCUGGGAAAGCUUUCGCGGUAUGGGAUGGGGUCGCGUCCUAUCAGCUUGACGGCGGGGUAACGGCCCACCGUGGCUUCGACGGGUAGCCGGCCUGAGAGGGCGACCGGCCACAUUGGGACUGAGAUACGGCCCAGACUCCUACGGGAGGCAGCAGUGGGGAAUAUUGCACAAUGGGCGCAAGCCUGAUGCAGCGACGCCGCGUGAGGGAUGGAGGCCUUCGGGUUGUAAACCUCUUUUAUCGGGGAGCAAGCGAGAGUGAGUUUACCCGUUGAAUAAGCACCGGCUAACUACGUGCCAGCAGCCGCGGUAAUACGUAGGGUGCAAGCGUUAUCCGGAAUUAUUGGGCGUAAAGGGCUCGUAGGCGGUUCGUCGCGUCCGGUGUGAAAGUCCAUCGCUUAACGGUGGAUCCGCGCCGGGUACGGGCGGGCUUGAGUGCGGUAGGGGAGACUGGAAUUCCCGGUGUAACGGUGGAAUGUGUAGAUAUCGGGAAGAACACCAAUGGCGAAGGCAGGUCUCUGGGCCGUUACUGACGCUGAGGAGCGAAAGCGUGGGGAGCGAACAGGAUUAGAUACCCUGGUAGUCCACGCCGUAAACGGUGGAUGCUGGAUGUGGGGCCCGUUCCACGGGUUCCGUGUCGGAGCUAACGCGUUAAGCAUCCCGCCUGGGGAGUACGGCCGCAAGGCUAAAAC
This 881-nucleotide ribosomal RNA is filed under the name human gut metagenome. RNAcentral's name for it is "bacterial SSU rRNA". It matches the Rfam family "Bacterial small subunit ribosomal RNA", at positions 8 to 900 of the family's 1533-position model. The record is from RNAcentral.